AGUGAACGCUGGCGGUAUGCCUAACACAUGCAAGUCGAACGGCAGCACAGUAAGAUCUUGCUCUUACGGGUGGCGAGUGGCGGACGGGUGAGGAAUACAUCGGAAUCUACUUUUUCGUGGGGGAUAACGUAGGGAAACUUACGCUAAUACCGCAUACGACCUACGGGUGAAAUCAGGGGAUCUUCGGACCUUUCGCGAUUGAAUGAGCCGAUGUCGGAUUAGCUAGUUGGCGGGGUAAAGGCCCACCAAGGCGACGAUCCGUAGCUGGUCUGAGAGGAUGAUCAGCCACACUGGAACUGAGACACGGUCCAGACUCCUACGGGAGGCAGCAGUGGGGAAUAUUGGACAAUGGGCGCAAGCCUGAUCCAGCCAUACCGCGUGGGUGAAGAAGGCCUUCGGGUUGUAAAGCCCUUUUGUUGGGAAAGAAAAGCAGCAGGUUAAUACCCCGCUGUUCUGACGGUACCCAAAGAAUAAGCACCGGCUAACUUCGUG
This 492-nucleotide ribosomal RNA is filed under the name uncultured bacterium. RNAcentral describes it as "partial 16S ribosomal RNA". It matches the Rfam family "Bacterial small subunit ribosomal RNA", at positions 29 to 507 of the family's 1533-position model. The record is from RNAcentral.